AAGACUAUAUUUUCAGGGAUCAUUUCUAUAGUUCACUACUAGAGAAGUUUUUCUGAUUAUGUAAAGCCUGGAAACCACGAGGAGGAGGAGAUGCAGUAUUCUCUUCUGAGCAUGAAGCCAGCUCUUGGUGUUGCUUCACUGCAACUGCCACUUGCCAUUGAUGAUCAUUCAGGGGAGCAAGAGAGAGAGGGCAUGGUCUGAGUGGU
This 206-nucleotide small nucleolar RNA is filed under the name Carlito syrichta (Philippine tarsier). RNAcentral's name for it is "Small nucleolar RNA U3 (ENSTSYG00000019903.2)". It matches the Rfam family "Small nucleolar RNA U3". Rfam says of the family: Small nucleolar RNAs (snoRNAs) are involved in the processing and modification of rRNA in the nucleolus. There are two main classes of snoRNAs: the box C/D class, and the box H/ACA class. U3 snoRNA is a member of the box C/D class. The record is from Rfam by way of RNAcentral. Lineage: Eukaryota; Metazoa; Chordata; Mammalia; Primates; Tarsiidae.